ACCUUUUUUUUUAAUUAAAUUCAGAGGGAAAUUAACUCUACUACUUUGGGUAACAUGCCAAAAACACAAAACGUAAGAAACUGUGGGGGAAUUAGCAAGUUUGAUGUCUUUGCCUCUGUGUUCUUGUGGAGCUGUGAAAGCUAGGUGCAAGAUAACUGAUUCAGAUAGACUUUCACAGUUUCUCAUGGAGUUUAGUGAUAGCUAUGAUCAUGCUAAGAAUCAGAUCUAGCUGAUGGAUCCUUUGCCAAGCACUAACAAGGCAUAUUCAAUGGUAGUGAGGG
RNAcentral lists this unclassified non-coding RNA (281 nucleotides) under Hevea brasiliensis (rubber tree). The record is from RNAcentral. Lineage: Eukaryota; Viridiplantae; Streptophyta; Magnoliopsida; Malpighiales; Euphorbiaceae.